UUUGAUCCUGGCUCAGGACGAACGCUGGCGGCGUGCCUAAUACAUGCAAGUCGAGCGGACAGAUGGGAGCUUGCUCCCUGAUGUUAGCGGCGGACGGGUGAGUAACACGUGGGUAACCUGCCUGUAAGACUGGGAUAACUCCGGGAAACCGGGGCUAAUACCGGAUGGUUGUUUGAACCGCAUGGUUCAAACAUAAAAGGUGGCUUUGGCUACCACUUACAGAUGGACCCGCGGCGCAUUAGCUAGUUGGUGAGGUAACGGCUCACCAAGGCAACGAUGCGUAGCCGACCUGAGAGGGUGAUCGGCCACACUGGGACUGAGACACGGCCCAGACUCCUACGGGAGGCAGCAGUAGGGAAUCUUCCGCAAUGGACGAAAGUCUGACGGAGCAACGCCGCGUGAGUGAUGAAGGUUUUCGGAUCGUAAAGCUCUGUUGUUAGGGAAGAACAAGUACCGUUCGAAUAGGGCGGUACCUUGACGGUACCUAACCAGAAAGCCACGGCUAACUACGUGCC
RNAcentral lists this ribosomal RNA (515 nucleotides) under Bacillus subtilis. Its description in RNAcentral is "bacterial SSU rRNA". It matches the Rfam family "Bacterial small subunit ribosomal RNA", at positions 12 to 509 of the family's 1533-position model. The record is from RNAcentral. Lineage: Bacteria; Bacillati; Bacillota; Bacilli; Caryophanales; Bacillaceae.